Paramuricea clavata is the source of this 161-nucleotide non-coding RNA. Lineage: Eukaryota; Metazoa; Cnidaria; Anthozoa; Malacalcyonacea; Plexauridae. The record is from the annotation of a GenBank genome assembly.
ACAGAUUUUGCUAGGCAAUUUUUUGACAUAGGGCAUUCACUUGGUUUUUGGCAAUUGCACUUUUUUGUCGGGGGUUUUAGCUCGGUGGGAUAGCUUGGAUUUGUUAUAAGAAAAGUAACAAGUGAAUGCCCUAUGUCAAAAAUUUGCCUAGCAAAAUCUGU